This 301-nucleotide ribosomal RNA is filed under the name uncultured bacterium. RNAcentral describes it as "partial 16S ribosomal RNA". It matches the Rfam family "Bacterial small subunit ribosomal RNA", at positions 509 to 807 of the family's 1533-position model. The record is from RNAcentral.
CAGUCGCCGCGGUAAUACGUAGGUCCCGAGCGUUGUCCGGAUUUAUUGGGCGUAAAGCGAGCGCAGGCGGUUAGAUAAGUCAGAUGUGAAAUCCCCGGGCUCAACCUGGGAACUGCAUUUGAGACUGUAUGGCUAGAGCGUGUCAGAGGGGGGUAGAAUUCCACGUGUAGCAGUGAAAUGCGUAGAUAUGUGGAGGAAUACCGAUGGCGAAAGCACACUGCUGGGCCGACACUGACACUGAGAGACGAAAGCUAGGGGAGCAAAUGGGAUUAGAUACCCCGGUAGUCCCUGUCUCUUAUAC